This 403-nucleotide ribosomal RNA is filed under the name Verrucomicrobiota bacterium. RNAcentral describes it as "Verrucomicrobia bacterium partial 16S ribosomal RNA". It matches the Rfam family "Bacterial small subunit ribosomal RNA", at positions 355 to 776 of the family's 1533-position model. Lineage: Bacteria; Pseudomonadati; Verrucomicrobiota. The record is from RNAcentral.
UGGGGAAUAUUGCACAAGGGGCGCAAGCCUGAUGCAGCAACGCCGCGUGAACGAUGAAGGUCUUCGGAUCGUAAAGUUCUGUUGCAGGGGAAGAUAAUGACGGUACCCUGUGGGGAAGCCCCGGCUAACUACGUGCCAGCAGCCGCGGUAAUACGUAGGGGGCUAGCGUUAUCCGGAUUUACUGGGCGUAAAGGGUGCGUAGGUGGUCUUUCAAGUCGGUGGUUAAAGGCUACGGCUCAACCGUAGUUAGCCUCCGAAAACGGAAGGCUUGGGUGCCGGAGAGGAAAGUGGAAAUCCCAGUGUAGCCGUUAAAUGCGUAGAUAUUGGGGAGAAAAACAGUAGCGAAGGCGGCUUUCUGGACUGCAACUGAAACUGAGGCACGAAAGCGUGGGUAGCAAACAGG